GCGAGACAGGCUGACAUCCCUUGUAGCCUUGGGACUCCUCACAAGCCAUUUGGCAAACUGGGUCAGUCUACUUUUAAAGGCAGAGCGAGCAGAUGGUUUGCCUACAGGGUUGCCACGGCAUCAGUGACUCAUCAUUCAUGACGGAGGUUCCCUCGGUCCGAUGUCGACACUACUGCAUAUUACACUGACCUGGGAACAGUGCCUGGCACAAUAGUGAGCGGUGUGACCAGACAGCACUGACCUGAGGUCAUGGCCAGGCUUAGAGGACGUCACAUGAUCCCAUCCGAGAGCUAAUGUCCUUGUAAUGGAAUUUGUUUUAAAUAAAAGGCCGGUGGCUUACAGAGAUAAGGACUCUUGUUUUGUCAGACAUCUGUAAUGCUGUAAUGCAACAAUGUCAUGUCUGAACUCUAUUGAACUCUGUAAGAGGAGC
This is a long non-coding RNA of Triplophysa rosa, 430 nucleotides long. RefSeq lists it as uncharacterized. The transcript has 3 exons. The record is from RefSeq and is a predicted model, not a curated record. NCBI's taxonomy places the organism in Eukaryota, Metazoa, Chordata, Actinopteri, Cypriniformes, Nemacheilidae.